UACGUAGGGGGCAAGCGUUGUCCGGAAUCAUUGGGCGUAAAGAGCGUGUAGGCGACCUGGUAAGUCCGCUGUGAAAGUCCAGGGCUCAACCCUGGAAUGCCGGUGGAAACUGUCAGGCUCGAGUCCGGAAGAGGCGAGUGGAAUUCCUGGUGUAGCGGUGAAAUGCGCAGAUAUCAGGAGGAACACCAAUGGCGAAGGCAGCUCGCUGGGACGGUACUGACGCUGAGACGCGAAAGCGUGGGGAGCAAACAGG
RNAcentral lists this ribosomal RNA (253 nucleotides) under uncultured bacterium. Its description in RNAcentral is "partial 16S ribosomal RNA". It matches the Rfam family "Bacterial small subunit ribosomal RNA", at positions 524 to 776 of the family's 1533-position model. The record is from RNAcentral.